Long non-coding RNA from Cotesia glomerata, 553 nucleotides. RefSeq lists it as uncharacterized. The transcript is spliced from 2 exons. The record is from RefSeq and is a predicted model, not a curated record. NCBI's taxonomy places the organism in Eukaryota, Metazoa, Arthropoda, Insecta, Hymenoptera, Braconidae.
AAUAAACUUAGAAAAAUAUAAAAAGAAUAAAACAAAAAAUUGAUAUUGAAUUUGGCGCUUCUUAGAGAAGCGCGCAUGAGCACUGCGUACGGGAUAGUUAUAUGUGUGGUUAUUUAUUUUUGUCGAUUAGAACGUGAAUAAAAAAACAGUGUUCAGCAAACCGCAAACAAUUGCAAGAUUGUUGUUAACAGGUGAAUUAUAAAUUAGCAACAAUGAGACUUUCAGCAAAAAAUAAGUGGCUUGAUAGAUUUCACCAUGGAUUUGUUUAUUGCUGUAUGGGAUUGACCGCAAUAACCUUGGUAGGGCUCGCUCAAAUGGGCUACGAUUACUACUAUAAUAUAAAACCCGCUCUCCAAGCAGAGAAAUUGAAAAAGGAGCGAGAAUUACUCAGAGAAGGCAGUCCCUUCAUCUCAGAAGCUGAAGUAACCAGCUCUUAGUCAUAAACAACUUUAGAAAAAACUAAAAAUGUAUCAAAUAAAUAAGGAUAAUUAUCGUAUAUCGUAAAAUGAUUUAUUUUGUACAAAAAUUUAUAAUAAUAGACUUAUGUAGAAGA